Long non-coding RNA from Patella vulgata (common limpet), 605 nucleotides. RefSeq lists it as uncharacterized. The transcript has 3 exons. NCBI's taxonomy places the organism in Eukaryota, Metazoa, Mollusca, Gastropoda, Patellidae. The record is from RefSeq and is a predicted model, not a curated record.
CUAAUCAACUGCAGAAUGGCUGGGAACGAAAUUGAAUAAGAAGAGCAACAACUCUUACAUGGACAUAAAUAACCACACUAGGGGUGGGUUAUGCGUCCACAUUCCAGCUUUACUCUGAAUGACAGCUUUUCUAAUUCUUGUGGCCGAUCAGUGUCAGAAAAGACUACAUGAAAGUUGACGUACGAGAAGAAACUACAAUCGAUUAUGGCGUGCAUGACGAUGAUAUCAUAUCUAAGUGUCUUUGUAUUCCUGUAUUCAGUGAUUUUUGUCGUAUCAAAAAGAUUUUGUUAUCGACCCCCUGGAUCACCAUGUUCUAAUCAUACUCUAACUUGUCCUAGAGGUCACCGUAUUCAUAUAUAUGGGACUGUGUAUGUCUAUACCAAAGCAAGAUCUGACGGCUGUACUCCACUACAAGAACAGAAUGGUUGUGAUAGUCACUGCUGUAUCUGGGGUACUAUUGAAGAUAUUAUAGAUACUUUAAGUCUAAAGGAUACUUUACCUAUUUAUCAAGCCUGUGCUUAUCAACAGUCCUGCCACUUUACCUCUCCUUAUAUUGCUGGUACUAGUUAUGAUUACGGAUCAUUUGCGUAUUUGUGUAUGCAUAG